RNAcentral lists this ribosomal RNA (253 nucleotides) under uncultured bacterium. Its description in RNAcentral is "partial 16S ribosomal RNA". It matches the Rfam family "Bacterial small subunit ribosomal RNA", at positions 524 to 776 of the family's 1533-position model. The record is from RNAcentral.
AACGUAGGAGCCAAGCGUUAUCCGAAUUCACUGGGCGUAAAGCGCGUGCAGGCGGCUGGGUAAGUUGGAUGUGAAAUCUCCUGGCUCAACUGGGAGAGGCCGUUCAAUACUACCUGGCUUGAGGGCGACAGAGGGAGGUGGAAUUCCGGGUGUAGUGGUGAAAUGCGUAGAUAUCCGGAGGAACACCAGUGGCGAAGGCGGCUCACUGGACCGGUACUGACGCUGAGGCGCGAAAGCGUGGGGAGCAAACAGG